GGGUGUAGCCAAGCGGUAAGGCACACGACUUUGACUCGUGCAUGCGUAGGUUCGAAUCCUGCCACCC
This 67-nucleotide transfer RNA is filed under the name chicken gut metagenome. It matches the Rfam family "tRNA". From Rfam's summary of the family: Transfer RNA (tRNA) molecules are approximately 80 nucleotides in length. Their secondary structure includes four short double-helical elements and three loops (D, anti-codon, and T loops). The record is from RNAcentral.